This 381-nucleotide ribosomal RNA is filed under the name uncultured soil bacterium. RNAcentral describes it as "bacterial SSU rRNA". It matches the Rfam family "Bacterial small subunit ribosomal RNA", at positions 26 to 404 of the family's 1533-position model. The record is from RNAcentral.
AGAUUGAACGCUGGCGGCAGGCCUAACACAUGCAAGUCGAGCGGCAGCACGGGUACUUGUACCUGGUGGCGAGCGGCGGACGGGUGAGUAAUGCCUAGGAAUCUGCCUGAUAGUGGGGGAUAACGCUCGGAAACGGACGCUAAUACCACAUACGUCCUACGGGAGAAAGCAGGGGACCUUCGGGCCUUGCGCUAUCAGAUGAGCCUAGGUCGAUUAGCUAGUUGGUGGGUAAUGGCUCACCAAGGCGACGAUCCGUAACUGGUCUGAGAGGAUGAUCAGUCACACUGGAACUGAGACACGGUCCAGACUCCGUACGGGAGCAGCAGGUGGGAAUAUUGGACAAGUGGGACGAAAGCCUAGAUCCAGCCAUCGACCGCGUGU